AAUGAACGUUGGCGGCGUGGAUUAGGCAUGCAAGUCGAGCGAGAAGUUCCUUCGGGGACGGACAGCGGCGAAAGGGAGAGGAAUACGUAGAAAUCUACCCCUGAGACUGGGAUAGCGUCGGGAAACUGACAGUAAUACCAGAUAACGUCUUAGGACCAAAGGUGUGAUUCCGCUUGGGGAUGAGUCUACGCCCUAUUAGCUAGUUGGUGGGGUAAUGGCCUACCAAGGCGAUGAUGGGUAGCGGGUGUGAGAGCAUGAUCCGCCUCACUGGGACUGAGAACUGCCCAGACAUCUACGGAUGGCUGCAGUCGAGAAUCUUUGUCAAUGGACGAAAGUCUGAACAAGCGACGCCGCGUGCGGGAUGAAGGCCUUCGGGUUGUAAACCGCUGUCGUAGGGGAACAAAUGUACGGGGGUUCUCCCCUGUAUUUGAGUGAUCCUAGGAGGAAGGAGAGGCUAAGCUCGUGCCAGCAGCCGCCGUAA
Molecule: ribosomal RNA, 481 nt
Filed under: uncultured bacterium
Lineage: Bacteria
Description: partial 16S ribosomal RNA
Rfam family: Bacterial small subunit ribosomal RNA
Source: RNAcentral